CUCGUCAGAUCCUUCCCUAGCCAAGCCUUAACCGCCUCCAUGAGCUCGCGCGCGAAGUUUGGAUCCGGCGCCCUCGGCGCUCCCUGGAUAAAUAGAUGUCAGCCCUGUUUCUUCCCCUUUUGCGCACCCAUCUGCCAACGUCCAGGAACCUCGAUCAAAGGAAACCCUGAGAGCUAGUCAAUCGGAGGGAGAAGAGAGGGACUCCGCGACGCCACCAGGGGUGAACUCAUGGCUGCGUGCCCGCUCGGGGAAACUGAGGGGGUCAGGAAGUGUCAUCGGGGUCCGCUGGUCACGUCUGCGGUCAAACGGCGGUUGGAGAAGCGCGAUGUCACUAGGAAUUCCUCGAUGGAGACCCUCUCCGUUGCAACGUCGCGGGCAGCCUUGCGCAACCUACCGCGCUUGGUAAUGGCCGCCGCCACGGACCGGGGCGCCACCGCGAGCACCGUGGUGUCCGGUGAUAGCGAUGGGGGUCAGGCGUCGUCUGAUCGUUGAUCAACGGGUGGGAUUAAAAAGUGAAGAGCAGGUGGUCCAAAGGAGCGCUGCAAUGAGGAAUAUGAUUAUCUAGGUGGCGUCUUCCAGUCAGCUUGAUGGCACCAAGGAAGAAUAUUUAGUUCGUUUUAUUGUUAUCAUUUAUUUUUGUAAGACUUCCGCUAUGUAAUAAUAAUACUUGUGACAUUUAUCUCUAUACACUUUGUCAUUAUAUGUGAUGUUCUUCUUUGGCGCGCA
Molecule: long non-coding RNA, 726 nt
Organism: Zea mays
Lineage: Eukaryota; Viridiplantae; Streptophyta; Magnoliopsida; Poales; Poaceae
Exons: 3
Source: RefSeq, a predicted model, not a curated record